UCAAAAAAUAGUUUAAGUAAAACGUUAAUUUUGGGGAUUAAUAAUAUUUUUGUUAGAAAUUUUUUUGAU
RNAcentral lists this transfer RNA (69 nucleotides) under Melecta chinensis. RNAcentral's name for it is "tRNA-Pro". The record is from RNAcentral. Lineage: Eukaryota; Metazoa; Arthropoda; Insecta; Hymenoptera; Apidae.